Molecule: RNase P RNA, 248 nt
Filed under: Dehalococcoidia bacterium
Lineage: Bacteria; Bacillati; Chloroflexota; Dehalococcoidia
Description: partial RNase P RNA component class A
Rfam family: Bacterial RNase P class A
About the family: Ribonuclease P (RNase P) is a ubiquitous endoribonuclease, found in archaea, bacteria and eukarya as well as chloroplasts and mitochondria. Its best characterised activity is the generation of mature 5'-ends of tRNAs by cleaving the 5'-leader elements of precursor-tRNAs. Cellular RNase Ps are ribonucleoproteins.
Source: RNAcentral
CAUGCAGACUGGGUGACCGCCGUCCUUCCCGCAUGGGGAGGAGGGAGGAAAGUCCGGGCUCCUCUGGGCAGGGUGCUGGGUAACUCCCAGGUCCCGAUUCCGGUUCGUAGAACCUGCAUCGGGAACGGAAAGUGGCACAGAAACAUACCGUCCUCCCCGUAUGGGAAGGAUAAGGGUGAAAUCGGACGGUAAGAGCGUCCGGCCGUCUGCGGUGACGCAGCGGCGGCUAAACCCCACCUGGAGCAAGG